GAGGACCACGUGAAGACCUCCGCCGACGGGCAGACCUGGUACCUAUACCUCGACAACAAGACAGGUAACAAGAAGAAUGCUUGCUUCAUCCAUGGAUGGUCAGUCAGCUCAUGCAUGUGGCCGGGUGUGUGCAGGCGUCGGGUUCCAGACGAAGCAGCGCUACCUGUUCGGCUGGUUCAGCAUGAAGCUGAAGCUGGUGGGCAACGACUCCGCGGGCGUCGUCACCGCCUACUACGUACGAAGCAGCGGUAUCCUUCCUUCCUUCGGACCGAUCGCGUCGUGUCAUCUCACCUGACGACGACGACGACGAUCAUCUCCAAUUCGCAG
RNAcentral lists this long non-coding RNA (327 nucleotides) under Zea mays. Its description in RNAcentral is "long non-coding RNA (ZMAY_LNC004565)". The record is from RNAcentral. Lineage: Eukaryota; Viridiplantae; Streptophyta; Magnoliopsida; Poales; Poaceae.